Molecule: signal recognition particle RNA, 299 nt
Filed under: Cebus imitator (Panamanian white-faced capuchin)
Lineage: Eukaryota; Metazoa; Chordata; Mammalia; Primates; Cebidae
Description: Metazoan signal recognition particle RNA (ENSCCAG00000007231.1)
Rfam family: Metazoan signal recognition particle RNA
About the family: The signal recognition particle (SRP) is a universally conserved ribonucleoprotein.
Source: RNAcentral
GCCGGGCGCGGUGGCACAUGUCUGUAGUCCCAGCUAUUCAGGAGGCUGAGGCUGGAGGAUCUCUUGAGUCCAGGAGUUCUGGGCUGUAGUGCGCUAUGCCAAGCGGGUGUCCGCACUAAGUUUGGCAUCAAUAUGGUGACCUCCCGGGAGCGAGGGACCACCAGGUUGCCUAAGGCGGGGUGAAUCGGCCCAGGUCAGAAACGGAGCAGGUCAAAACUCCUGUGUUGAUCAGUAGUGGGAUUGAGCCUGUGAAUAGCCACUGCACUCAAGCCUGGGGAACAUAGCGAGACCCUGUCUCU